GACGAACGCUGGCGGCGUGCCUAAUACAUGCAAGUAGAACGCACAGUUUAUACCGUAGCUUGCUACACCAUAGACUGUGAGUUGCGAACGGGUGAGUAACGCGUAGGUAACCUGCCUGGUAGCGGGGGAUAACUAUUGGAAACGAUAGCUAAUACCGCAUAAUAUUAAUUAUUGCAUGAUAAUUAAUUGAAAGGUGCAAUUGCACCACUACCAGAUGGACCUGCGUUGUAUUAGCUAGUAGGUGAGGUAACGGCUCACCUAGGCGACGAUACAUAGCCGACCUGAGAGGGUGAUCGGCCAAACUGGGACUGAGACACUGCCCAGACUCCUACGGGAGGCAGCAGUAGGGAAUCUUCGGCAAUGGACGAAAGUCUGAACGAGCAACGCCGCGUGAGUGAAGAAGGUUUUCGGAUCGUAAAGCUCUGUUGUAAGAGAAGAACGGGUGUGAGAGUGGAAAGUUCACACUGUGACGGUAUCUUACCAGAAAGGGACGGCUAACUACGUG
This 505-nucleotide ribosomal RNA is filed under the name uncultured bacterium. RNAcentral describes it as "partial 16S ribosomal RNA". It matches the Rfam family "Bacterial small subunit ribosomal RNA", at positions 28 to 507 of the family's 1533-position model. The record is from RNAcentral.